Molecule: long non-coding RNA, 1354 nt
Filed under: Nicotiana benthamiana
Lineage: Eukaryota; Viridiplantae; Streptophyta; Magnoliopsida; Solanales; Solanaceae
Description: long non-coding RNA (NBEN_LNC020925)
Source: RNAcentral
UCGGGGGUCUAUUUGGAAACAGCCUCUCUACCCCAGGGUAGAGGUAAGGUCUGCGUACAUACUACCCUCCCCAGACCCCACUAUGUGGAAUUAUACCCUUGUUGUUGUUGUUAUUGUUGUUGAACCAUUUUAGUACUAAAUUUCCCAAAAUUUGACACCAACGAAUUUAACUUCAAAUUUACUCAUGGGGGCGACGAGAAGAUAAAAGUAAAUCAGGCAUAUCAAACUUUAAUUUCUCAGUUUUGAUUUGCAAACUUAAAUAGUCUCGCCAACUUGAGUUUGAGAGCGCGUAUUUAAUUGUAGUAUAGUUACACAGGAUAUCAACAACAUAAAUCAGGCAUAUCAAACUUUAAUUUGCAAACUUAAAUAGUCUCACCAACUUCAGUUUGAGAGUGCGUGUUAAAAGUCAAAUAAUCAAAUAAAUUAUAUCCUAAAAACUACGUCUAGAUUCAUUUAACUGUGAGUAGAGAAUAUUAUGAAGGUUAUUAUAUAGGAUGUGUAGAAUAUUUUGCAUUUAAUUGUAGUAAAGUUACAUAUGAUAUCGAGAAAACUUAAUUGUUACGUAUCUCGUUAGAUACAGAGAAUAACAACUUGAGGAGCAGCCUAUGAACCUUGUAUAAGGAGCUCUUUGUGUAUAUUCUUACUCACUUAAUGCAAGACAAAAGAAUUUCUUUUAAUUUUUUCAAUUUCUACAUAGCCGGUAUAAUCUUAGUAGAAUUUUAAGUAGCUUCUGCUGAGGAGUAGCUAUAGCCGCUUGAGAGAGGACAACAUCGGUUGCCAACCUGGAGGCAACAUUCGGCCAACACUUUUCUUCUUUCCUUUCCUCCUUUUGGCACCAUCACUUUUCCAACGACCAGAUUCAUUCCUCUCUACGGUUACAACACCAUCCUCCAUCUCAAGUGACUGGAGCUACUCCUCUUGUACAUUGUUAAUUAACCAAAGAAGUUUUCCAUUUUUUGCAAUCUAAAGAUGGCCUUCUUUAACAUUGUCUCUGACUAUAGAUGGAGCUAGGAUUUCUUUUCAUGGCUUUGGCCCAUUUGAGACGUGUUUUAACUAUUCACUUCAAUUGGCAUCUCUAAUAAACAAAAUGGCACAAGAAAAUCUUGUGUUUCUUAACUACUUUGCAGUCUCAUAUUAGUCAUGUAGCAACAGAAAAUGCUUAGCAGUACAAAGUUAGCAAUACGGUAAACUAUUUCUAGUACGGUCCAGCUCACAGUUAUGGUCACAACAUAGGCAAAAGUCAUAUUUAGAACCAGCAAAAAGGCUAAAAUUGAUUUUAAAUGAGGAGAGUCUCUCUUGAACUUUUGACUGGUAAAAGGAAUCUCAAAAAAUACGAACAAGGAGUCAAUGGAGA